AUGAUACUCCCGUCUUGCACGCGUCACUGCAUGGGGCGGCUCCGAGGGAUCCUCGGAGGGGUGAGAUUCCCGUGA
This 75-nucleotide non-coding RNA is filed under the name bovine gut metagenome. RNAcentral describes it as "pemK RNA". It matches the Rfam family "pemK RNA". The record is from RNAcentral.